UAGGACAUGAUCUGUAUUUACAGACAACAUGAAACCCUCCUGCUGCACGUGACAAUAUUUACUUUCACCUCAGGGUUUGCUUGCUCUUCACAUAUUUGUUUAACAAAACACAGCGAGGUGAUUUUAGAUGAAGGACAUCAGAGAAGAAGAAGAAACAGAUUUUAAACUCAAAUGAUCUUUUUCCUGAAGGAAACCCUCCAAAGCGUCCCAGUGUAACUCAGCGUGGACGGUCACGUUGCUACGGAGAACGUCUCAUCAUCUCAGGUUUCUGCUGCCUCCCAACACGCCCAGCGCUGGAUUCUCACUCUAAAUUUAGCCGCCUUAAAGUCAGAUGAGACAGCAGAGGGACAGCUUACCGUAAAACCUCAGAGGCUCUGAAUGUCUGAUGAUUCAUAUCUGAAGUUCUGAUGGAUUAGAGUGGAGCGGUCCUGCAGGAGAAGCAUGGUGCCGGUCCGGAGUCCAGAGUAACUCCAGUCUGCAGGAACUUUCCUGGAUCUGGGAAUGUCUGGCCUUUUCUGCAGCAGCUGUUUGAAUAUUUCCUCUGCAGAACAAUGAGCUGCUGGACGUUUUUAGUCGCCUUCAGCCUUCUUGUGCCUUGGUGCCAUGCAGGCUGUGCGGAGGUGGACUCCAUGACCGAAGCCGUGGCCGGAGAAGGAUUCCUGCUCGGCUGCAUUUCCUGUAAGAAGAGGGAGGAAGUGUCGGCCCGAGCCACGGUGGACUGGCACUUCAAACGGCCCGAGGACCACGAGUUCACACAUGUGAGUCAGAACCAUCAGGAAAUCAGCAACUGCUUAAAACAAACAAACAA
Molecule: long non-coding RNA, 808 nt
Organism: Poecilia latipinna (sailfin molly)
Lineage: Eukaryota; Metazoa; Chordata; Actinopteri; Cyprinodontiformes; Poeciliidae
Exons: 2
Source: RefSeq, a predicted model, not a curated record